AGCCAUACCAUAUUAAAAUGUUGGUUCCCAUAUGAUCACCAAAGUUAAGCAAUGUCAAGCCUGGUCAGUACCUAGAUGGGAGACUACUUGGAAAUACCAAGUGCUGUAAG
Non-coding RNA from Acanthosepion pharaonis, 110 nucleotides. The record is from the annotation of a GenBank genome assembly. Lineage: Eukaryota; Metazoa; Mollusca; Cephalopoda; Sepiida; Sepiidae.